Molecule: ribosomal RNA, 510 nt
Filed under: uncultured Chloroflexota bacterium
Lineage: Bacteria; Bacillati; Chloroflexota
Description: bacterial SSU rRNA
Rfam family: Bacterial small subunit ribosomal RNA
Source: RNAcentral
GGGCGCAAGCCUGAAGCAGCGACGCCGCGUGGGCGAUGAAGGUCUUCGGAUCGUAAAGCCCUUUUCUGCGUGACGAGGAAGGACGGUAGCGCAGGAAUAAGUGUCGGCUAACUACGUGCCAGCAGCCGCGGUAAAACGUAGGACGCAAACGUUAUCCGGAAUUACUGGGCGUAAAGAGCGUGUAGGCGGGUGAGUAAGUUGUCCGUGAAAGCUCCCGGCUAAACUGGGAGAGGUCGGAUAAGACUGCUGACCUGGAGGGUGUUAGAGGGAUGCGGAAUUCCGGGUGUAGUGGUGAAAUGCGUAGAGAUCCGGAGGAACACCAGAGGCGAAGGCGGCAUCCUGGGACAUACCUGACGCUGAGACGCGAAAGCAUGGGGAGCGAACGGGAUUAGAGACCCCGGUAGUCCAUGCCGUAAACGAUGUUCACUAGAUGUUCGUAUGACUACGGUUGUGUGAGCGUCGAAGCCAACGCGCUAAGUGAACCGCCUGGGGAGUACGGUCGCAAGGCUA